This 405-nucleotide ribosomal RNA is filed under the name uncultured bacterium. RNAcentral describes it as "partial 16S ribosomal RNA". It matches the Rfam family "Bacterial small subunit ribosomal RNA", at positions 28 to 526 of the family's 1533-position model. The record is from RNAcentral.
GAUGAACGCUGGCGGCGUGCCUAAUACAUGCAAGUCGAGCGAAGCGGGGACGGGUGAGUAACACGUGGAUAACCUCCUAUAAGACUGGGAUAACUUCGGGAAACCGGAGCUAAACCGGAUUCGUAUGGAAGGAUCGGUGCUGCAGUUGCUAGUUGGAAAGGUAACGGCUUACAAAGGCAACGAUGCAUAGCCGACCUGGGAGGGUGAUGGGCCACACUGGAACGGAGACACGGUCCAGACUCCUACGGGAGGCAGCAGUGGGGAAUCUUCCGCAAUGGGCGAAAGCCUGACGGAGCAACGCCGCGUGAAGUAUGAAGGUCUUCGGAUCGUAAAGCACUGUUAUUAGGGAAGCGGUACCUGAUCAGAAAGCCACGGCUAACUACGUGCCAGCAGCCGCGGUAAUAC